RNAcentral lists this long non-coding RNA (5509 nucleotides) under Diabrotica virgifera virgifera (western corn rootworm). RNAcentral describes it as "uncharacterized LOC126879874". The record is from RNAcentral. Lineage: Eukaryota; Metazoa; Arthropoda; Insecta; Coleoptera; Chrysomelidae.
UUGGUGUUUUUCCUUUAAGUUUUGAGCGAUAAAAAUCCCAUGUUAUUAUUGGUCUGCAUUUUGAAAGAUCCUUGAGUUGUAGUUGACGAUUGGUCAAUAGUUUUGGCCGAACGAUCGAGAAGAAAUGCAUCGUUUGGACGCGAGAGAGACGUGACGAUGUAAAGUGAGUUCUAAAAGUACAUCACUUCAGUAAACAUCUUUUUGUUAGAACUCAACCAACAGACUCGUAGAAAGUCGCACUUUGCCGGCAAAAUGGUUUUCUUCUUAUAGUAAAAGAACUAAUGGAUUUCUAACAUGUCAAGGAAUAUAAUGACAAUAGUUUCACGGCAUUUUAAUGGAUAUAUUAUUGUGAAACAGUUCUAUUGUUAUGCAGUUUGAUUUGCCGGUAAAAGAAGUGCGUGGUUUCCUGGUUCCUGUCCUUUAUGUAGCUGUUGCUAUUUUUAUGAUGUUUUGAUUUGUUCAUGUUCCAGUAAGAAAUGCCCAGAUGAUAUUAUUUGGUAUCGAUUUUAUCCAGUUUUGUAAUGAUUUGAAUAUCUUCCCCUCCCAGCCCCGUCUGAAUGGAAAAUUUUGAAGUUCCAAGUGUUGUGACAUGGAUUUUUGUUUUAACAAGUUUUAGAACAGAAGAAAAUAUAAUGGCAUAGAAGCCAAAUGAUGAUAAUUUGUAGCCCACUAUAACCCCAAUGAGGAAUCUACGAUGAAUGUCCCCCAGUUGCUUUCCAGUAAGUACUCGAUAUGAGAAUUUGAGGAUUUUUCAAACGGCGUCCCAAUUUGUUUAAAUAGUAGGAAAGUCCUCAAGUCUGUGUAAGUAUCCUUUGCUUAUUUGGUUAUGUAGUUUAGUCUUCUUUAAACCCUCCUACCCCUCCCAACGAAUCUACGACCUGCCACCGCACAAAAAAUGAGCUGCCGUUCGCAUGAAGGUUUGCGUGUCUGUUCCUUCUACUAGCCCCAUUUCGACUCCCCAGUAUCUCUAUAGAUAGUCUUUCCUUGAUCCCAUUAGAGCAGACAGGUAAAACGCUUCAACUUGCGCCCAACGUGUGAGGCUUAAAACGCAUCAAAUGGCCCCCAAUGUGUGAGGCCGAUUCAAUUUUCUGCCUCCUUCAGUAUCCAGUUGUUGUCUUGUCCAGUUGAAUGCUUCAAAUGGCCCCGACAACGUGGGUCGUGUUAUUUCUAGCCCCCCUGACCCCAUUAGCAUGUGCCCACUACCAUGUCCUUUUAGCCUCCUUUCGGUCUCAUUUGUACUACAACUGUUAGGCAGUGCCCGUCCCUUGGGCAGCCGAUCUCAGUUUGUGGUGCAGGUGUUUCCGACAACAUGGAAGCUCGACUCUUGUCAUUUUUUGUAUGCCCAUUGUUACAAGUCUAGCUUGUAGACAUGUUCAACUAGUAGUUAGCCUAUCUACUAGUCCCCAAUGUCUUUAGCCACUCCCACUUAGUGUUACACUUGUAAUACUUGUAUCGUACACCCUGAAGUUUGACCCGAGUAAAUAUCGCCCCAGUCUUCCCAUGUAGUUUAGCCCAGAUUCCUCUUGUCUUGCCCCCAGAAACUGUUUCAUGUCUUUUAGUGCCCCCGAAACUGUUUCAGUCUGUUAGUCCCCAUGAAAGAGCCCAUUUUUGUAGUUUUUGUUGCAGAAUGUUGAUAAUUUUUCCAUAAGAGGUGCAAGUAUGUACACUUUGUAUUGUGGUGUUGAUUUGGUCGUGCUGCUGAUUGUAUAGGCAUGUACCAUUUCAUACAUCAUAGUGUAUUUACAUUGUAACCCCAUUUUAUGUAAACUGUAGUAUACUGGUAUUGUAUUUUAUGUAUCAUACAACAGAAUAGUAUGUUAAAUAUUGUGACGUACUUACUAUGUUGUAUUGAUAUUGUACCCAUGAUGAAAGCAUUGGUUAAAUUUUUUAGAAAAUAUUGAUGAAUUAUAUAGACAUAGACAAACAGAUGAGUAAAAAAUAAAGUAUAAAAUUUUUUUAGAAAAAUUUUUGGUAAAAUGUAACGUUAAAUUUUUUUGAAAAUUUUGGUAAAAGUUACGAUUAAAAUGUUUUUAAUAUUGAAUCCACUUAUAGAGUAUAACAAUAUGUUAUAUUUUUUUGCAUGUAUUCUUGUAGAUCAUCAGUUUUUUACAGAAUAAACGUUUUUUGUGAUUAUUGAUUUGGUCGUUUGAGUAGAUGUGUGAUAAUAGUUGGUAUGGUCCGUGUAUGAGCUAAUUCGGUAUGGUCUGUGUGAGUAAGUUCCGUGAUUUUCCAGCGAAGCCUAUCUAUAUUUGGGUAUAUUAUUGCCACAGGUUAGUUGGAGAAGUCAUCCUUGAAGAAGUAACCCCAUGAAGAAGUGAAGAGGGAAACCGUGGCGAGGCCCCUCCACUUAUUAAUGAAGAAGUAGACCCCUUGUUUUUUCAAGCAGCCAGGAGAAAAGCUAUCACUUUUUGAUUUGAAGAUAGCGUACUCUGUCGACACUGUUUUGAAAAUAACCCUUGAUAUAUGGAUUUGUUCAUGUUAGAAGUAAAAAAAAAGUUACCCCAUGAAAAAGUGAAGAGGGAAACCGUGGCGAGGCCCCUCCACUUAUUGAUUAAAAAUGAUGUAUGUUUUCUUGUAUCUGGCAUAUCACAAGUGCAAUACUCGUGAUGAGGAAGUGUUGUUCAGUUGUCUGGGAAUACUCCCAUUAAUAGUCGGAGCAAGAACGGUUUGAUUUGUGUAAGCUCAUAUAAGAACCAAAUUUCAAUAUUUAUUUGUGUUUGUAAGCCCAUGUAUAUGGAGUAUGACUAAGAACCAAGUUUCGAUAUUAUUUGUGUUUGUAAGCCCAUGUAUAUGAAGUAUGGAGAAUGUAUAAAUGCCCUAUGAGUCUUUUGUUCCCUGUUUGUUUGUCUAUCCCUUUUUUGUCUGGAAAUUCUAGAGUCUGUUAUCCCGUAAUGUCUGUUAGCCCAUGUCCCUGAUGGAGUUUGAUUUUUUUUGGCGAAUAGUUCGUUGACCUCUCUUGUGUUUGUUUAUUGAAAGUAGGCUAAGAGCAGAAGCUGUGACAAGGCUGGUGAGCUUAGGAUCUGGCCGCGUUGAGUACAGGUGAAGCUUGCUUUCGGUGGAUAAAUGGAAGUGGUCGUUCGUCGGAAUUGUCAUUCUUUCCAAUGUCCCUUUGGUCUUUCCCUUGUGUGUUUGCUUUCAUCCCUGUUUUGAAAAAGUAGUCUAACCCCAGUUUGGAAGAGUGAAGUCUACUCAUGUUUUGGAAGAAUAAAGUCUACCCAUUGUUUUGGAAAAGUAAGAUCUACUCAUGUUUUGGAAAAGUAAGAUCAUAUCCCCGGUUUUGAAAAAUAAAGAAUAUCCCAGUUUGUGAUUUGAAAAUGAGAAAGUUGUCUUGUGAACUUUCAUGAAAGGCUUUUAUGUCCUAGGUAGGACUGUUGAUUGAAAACGUAAUGAUGUAGUAUUUCCUAUGUCAUGUGUUACGUUCAUUUUUUUUGGUCUUGAUUAAAUAGUUUGAUAUCCUGUUUGAACCCAGUAUACUAGUCUUUUCGGUCUUUUGUUGUUGUCACACGUAUCCCCCCUCCCCCCUUGUUAAUAUUGUCUUGAUUUUAGUCCUUGUUGUUGUCAUAUACCCCUUAGUCUAGCCCUGUCUUAUUUGAAUGAGUUGUUGAGGUAAGUUGUUCAUGAGAUUUUGUCUCACUGAGGUGUUUAGACUGGAUUGUCUAAAUCCUCGUUUUGCAGAACCGUUGCCGAAAUGUCCCGUGAAACUCGCUAGGUGUUAGCAGAGUUUGGGCAGAUGUUUAUCUGUCAAACAUCAACUUUUUAGUUUUUGUGAACCGCUCGCGGUUAGGCAACGAGGUGACAAGGCUGUGUCUGCCCUGGUAUGUCACUUGUGUUACUGCUGUGGAUGUCAGCGAGGUCCACACAGGGCACAAGAUUAUUUCUUUCCCAAGACACAGAAACUCUUAUCACCUACAGUUCUUAUUAGAGUCUUAACAUUUAAGUCUACUCGACUUUAAAGAGUCUGGCGAUUGAUGGCACGCUAGCCCAUUCCCUAAUGAUGUUUUGUUUUUGUUUAAUCCCCAUUAGCCAUUAUUUAAAUAUUUUGGUAUUGUUGUCCUGUCACACCCAAGAAGUCAAUGUUGGAUUUUUGUAGUUAUCGAAAACUGAAUUGGUAAUCCAGUUUCCUCUCUUCCGAGGAGGCUAUUGUAGCAGAUGGAUUUCUACUACAAUAUUUUAUAAAAAAUAUCCAUUAAUUUUAAUCCUAUCCCAAGAAAAAUAUUAAUUUUUCUAAUAUAUUUUGCGAGUUUAUAUAUCUUUAAAAUUUCCAAGCCGCUCCUGUUCGCAUUGUAAAGGUUAGGAAAUUUCCUAUUUAUUUGUGUAGCAAUAACCAACUACGUAGAUUGUUAUUGAAAACAUCCAUUAUUCGAGAAUGAAUCCUCUAAAAGGUUCAGUGUUUUUCCUUUAAGUUUUGAGCGCUAAAUUUGAGUAGCAUUUACCAACUACGUAGAUAGUUAUUGUGAAAUCAUUCAUUAUUCGAGAAUGAAUCCUCUAAAAGGUUUGGUGUUUUUCCUUUAAGUUUUGAGCGAUAAAAAUCCCAUGUUAUUAUUGGUCUGCAUUUUGAAAGAUCCUUGAGUUGUAGUUGACGAUUGGUCAAUAGUUUUGGCCGAACGAUCGAGAAGAAAUGCAUCGUUUGGACGCGAGAGAGACGUGACGAUGUAAAGUGAGUUCUAAAAGUACAUCACUUCAGUAAACAUCUUUUUGUUAGAACUCAACCAACAGACUCGUAGAAAGUCGCACUUUGCCGGCAAAAUGGUUUUCUUCUUAUAGUAAAAGAACUAAUGGAUUUCUAACAUGUCAAGGAAUAUAAUGACAAUAGUUUCACGGCAUUUUAAUGGAUAUAUUAUUGUGAAACAGUUCUAUUGUUAUGCAGUUUGAUUUGCCGGUAAAAGAAGUGCGUGGUUUCCUGGUUCCUGUCCUUUAUGUAGCUGUUGCUAUUUUUAUGAUGUUUUGAUUUGUUCAUGUUCCAGUAAGAAAUGCCCAGAUGAUAUUAUUUGGUAUCGAUUUUAUCCAGUUUUGUAAUGAUUUGAAUAUCUUCCCCUCCCAGCCCCGUCUGAAUGGAAAAUUUUGAAGUUCCAAGUGUUGUGACAUGGAUUUUUGUUUUAACAAGUUUUAGAACAGAAGAAAAUAUAAUGGCAUAGAAGCCAAAUGAUGAUAAUUUGUAGCCCACUAUAACCCCAAUGAGGAAUCUACGAUGAAUGUCCCCCAGUUGCUUUCCAGUAAGUACUCGAUAUGAGAAUUUGAGGAUUUUUCAAACGGCGUCCCAAUUUGUUUAAAUAGUAGGAAAGUCCUCAAGUCUGUGUAAGUAUCCUUUGCUUAUUUGGUUAUGUAGUUUAGUCUUCUUUAAACCCUCCUACCCCUCCCAACGAAUCUACGACCUGCCACCGCACAAAAAAUGAGCUGCCGUUCGCAUGAAGGUUUGCGUGUCUGUUCCUUCUACUAGCCCCAUUUCGACUCCCCAGUAUCUCUAUAGAUAGUCUUUCCUUGAUCCCAUUAGAGCAGACAGGUAAAACGC